RNAcentral lists this ribosomal RNA (252 nucleotides) under uncultured bacterium. Its description in RNAcentral is "partial 16S ribosomal RNA". It matches the Rfam family "Bacterial small subunit ribosomal RNA", at positions 524 to 776 of the family's 1533-position model. The record is from RNAcentral.
UACGUAGGGAGCGAGCGUUGUCCGGAAUUACUGGGUGUAAAGGGAGCGUAGGCGGGAUCGCAAGUUGGAUGUCUAAUCUAUCGGCUCAACUGGUAGCCGCAUUCAAAACUGUGAUUCUUGAGUGGAGUAGAGGCAGGCGGAAUUCCUAGUGUAGCGGUGAAAUGCGUAGAUAUUAGGAGGAACACCAGUGGCGAAGGCGGCCUGCUGGGCUUUUACUGACGCUGAGGCUCGAAAGUGUGGGGAGCAAACAGG